This is a non-coding RNA of Procambarus clarkii (red swamp crayfish), 2243 nucleotides long. NCBI's taxonomy places the organism in Eukaryota, Metazoa, Arthropoda, Malacostraca, Decapoda, Cambaridae. The record is from RefSeq and is a predicted model, not a curated record.
UAACGGCAUUUGACGAAUGCAUGAAAAAAAAUAGAAGCCUUUAAAAAAAAUAUUAAAAGGGCUUCAACAAAGAAGAAUCUGCAAUCGUCAAGGAGCCACACACUGACGAAACUACAAGUGGACUCUGCCAUUGCCCAAGGCUCGUUGCUCUUCAUCGACCUCAUGGGGGUCGAAACAAUGGAUGACGUUUCAGGUACGGCGUCAACCCAGGAGGAGAUGAAGAGCGGGAGCAAAACACUCAUUUUUGAGAGCGUUUCUCAUGGAUAUGGCCAGCAAGGGUUCCAGCACAUCUUAUCGGAACAGCAAACUGACCCAUUAUUUACAUGAGAUAAAGAAGAGAACUCCAGCAAUGAAGAUGUUUAAUCAAACCUGCAAAAACAUCUACCAGAAUAACUCUAGAUGUAUUAGAGUUCUCAAAAAGAUUGCAAAAAUAACAAGUUAACACCACAUGAAUGAAUAGACCACAUGAAUGACUUCGUCCAAUCAAGACGAGUUGAAGAGUUGAAACCGAAGUUCUACUGAACUUAAUGGAUCCUGCAGCCUCUCCCGAGACACAAACCAGGGUUUUACACAACUCCCCCAUGCACUCGAGCUAUGUCAAUAGGCCGUUUUCCCUCUUCGCUUUACUUCAUUACAAUAGAUAAAGGCAGCGUCUGGAAUGAUCUCCGACGUAGGUCCCUUGGUUCAGAGAACAAAGUUAAAAUACGGGCAGAGAGAGAAAGGGGGUGAAGGACGAGAACAAGAACCCCCCCCCCCCCUUUUUUUUUAAAAAGAACACUUCAUUUUUGGCACACCACCAAUUUGUCAAUAAAAGCAGAGCAGCAUUGGAGUUAAUUCUUAUAAUCACCACAUUAUUUUAGGGUCUUAAGCAGGCUUAACAGAGGCUGACAUCCAUAUGUUCUGUUUUACCUAUCAUGUCUAUAUAUUAUAUAUUGUUUUUCAUUGAUUUCAGGCUCAUUGCUCUUCAUCGACCUCAUGGGUGUCGAAACAAUGGAAGAUGUAUCCGGUAUGGCGUCAGCAACCCAUGAGGCGAUGAAGAGCGGGAGCAAGACGCUCACAUUUGAGUGUGUUUCUUGAAGAUAUGGCAAGUAAGGCAAGAUAAAUCAUCUUGAAUUGACAAACAUUCUUGUACUAUAAAUUUGUACCUACAAGAAUGUCUAUUUGUUUAUUUGUUCAGAGGUUGAAGGCCAGAUGCUUUGGGCUAGCCUAACCCAAACUUGCAGGGUAAAGGGUUUGGGGUACAGAAUGGACAAACGCUGGUAUUAGUUUCAUUACAUUCAAUGUUGGUUUUCUGUGGGGAGCCCCUUUGGCUCCCUGGAGCUAUAGAUGUAUUAGAGUUCAACUUAGUAAACAAGGUUUACUAAGUUGCUUGUGCAGGGAGGGGGGGGGAGGGUAACAAAGUAGCUGUUGUAGGAAUGAUCUAGAAUGUUUUAUCUGACAUGGGAAAAUGGGAAACUGGACCCACGUGGGGACCUGACCCAGCAAGGUCGCAUCCCCUGGGGGAUUGGCGGUGAAAAUAACUGGCGCCUUUGUUCACAGUUUCGUAUAAUGAAUCAUUCUAUAGUAUUCACUUAUUUAGAGAAAUUAGUCUUCAUUCAAAUUCUAUAAUAUUACUGGUUAUAAUAUCAAGAGUACCCUAAUUGUCAGGAUAAUGAGUCAAGUCACCAUCAGUGACGUCACGAGCCAGGACUAGGCUGUAGCGCGGAGUGACCUCGGCGACCUGGCGGUCACAGGUCAGCAGAGGUUCCACAUUAAGUAAUUCUCAAAGGUCAAAUAGUCAUUUUGUAAGUGGGAAUAGCUCUUCCCUAAGAUGCUUGUGUAAUUAACUUCAGUUAAAAUAAUUCAACCAAUCUGGAUCAUUCAGUGCAACAGAGGUUAGUUGUUGAACUUAAGCCUCGCAAGUAACUUAGACUAGGCGGAAGCAUACAAUGCUCUGGUCUGGGUAGACAAGCAUGUGGGAAGGACAGUGUGGUAUCAGGAGCAACCCGGGACAGGUGUCCACUCCACCUCUCCCAAGACAUUAGCACAAACAUCUAGUUGGUUGCCAAAAAGAUAAAAUUCACUCAGAGUUGUUAUAGGGAAUAGGUCAACUCAUUGCCAAUAUGCUAAAGUCAGGGAGUGUUCAGGUUAGGGAGUGAAGUUAUUUAGAUUUUGUUUUAGAUUUUAAAUUAAUUAGUAAUUUGCAUUUUCAUUAUUUCCAUUUUUGUGUAAUUUAUGUGAAUUGAUCCGGGACCACGUGGGCA